GGGAAUGGAUGCCCAGCUGAAGAUAUGGUC
Molecule: non-coding RNA, 30 nt
Filed under: Homo sapiens (human)
Lineage: Eukaryota; Metazoa; Chordata; Mammalia; Primates; Hominidae
Source: RNAcentral